Molecule: ribosomal RNA, 230 nt
Filed under: uncultured bacterium
Lineage: Bacteria
Description: partial 16S ribosomal RNA
Rfam family: Bacterial small subunit ribosomal RNA
Source: RNAcentral
AAGCGCGCGUAGGCGGUUUGAUAAGCUAGCUGUGAAAGCCCUGGGCUCAACCUGGGAACUGCAGUUAGAACUGUCUGACUAGAGUACAGUAGAGGGUGGCGGAAUUUCCUGUGUAGCGGUGAAAUGCGUAGAUAUAGGAAGGAACAUCAGUGGCGAAGGCGGCCACCUGGACUGAUACUGACGCUGAGGUGCGAAAGCGUGGGGAGCAAACAGGAUUAGAUACCCCCUGU